GGGUCAGUAGGUUGGUCGUGCCACCGGUACGUACUGGUCUCACUGAUUCCUCCUUCCUGAAUAACCGUAAUGCCAUUAUUUUGGUGUUGCGGGGAAACAGGACUGUUACUUUGAAAAAAUUAGAGUGUUUAAUGCAAGCUAACGCUUGAAUACAUUAGCAUGGAAUAAUGAAAUAGGACGAUCGAUCCUAUUUUGUUGGUUUCUAGGAUUGACGUA
Molecule: ribosomal RNA, 216 nt
Filed under: Glomeromycotina sp.
Lineage: Eukaryota; Fungi; Glomeromycota
Description: partial small subunit ribosomal RNA
Rfam family: Eukaryotic small subunit ribosomal RNA (bases 40-216)
Source: RNAcentral